AGUGGUUCUCACAUGGAAUUACUGGGGUGAGGAUCUGAACAUUCCUGUGGGAAAGGUAGUGAUUUGGGCUGGUGUAUGGAUUGUGCUGCCUUAGUGGUAGAAAUGCAGAUACUGCUGUGCAUGUGUAUUGAUGUGACUGGGAAAUCUUGCAGGAAUAUGAAGAAAUAUUAAAUCUUAAGGACAGAUCAGGCACCAGAACAAGGAGUGUGAGCAAGCCAUUAAUAAACUUACAGAAAAGAAAACUGUUGAGCUACUUCAAACCCUUCUUCACUGAGAGUUUUGGCACCAGUGGAGCAAGCCAAGGUUCAGUUAUGAUUGGGUAAGAGCUUGCAAUAGCUGUCAUUGGACUUGAUGACUGGGAAAGUCCUUUCAGUUCUGUGUUACUGCGUGUUUUGCUCUGACAGCCAGAUACCUAUCAGCUGGUGAAGACUCUUGAUCAUCACUUCCAGUUUUAUUUAUACGCUGCAUAAUAAUGACUUUUUUAAUGAUUAUUAUUUUCUUAUAUGGUGAAUGAUGUUGAAGUGACAACUCCUUGUUUACAACACUGAUGAUAGCUGGUGUUUUUUCAGUUUCAUUCUCUAGGAAAAUCUGCAUCCUGGCUCUACAAGUGUAUUAGUGCACUCUUAGAGGACUUCUAGGGCUAAACAAUGGCUAUUCACUUUAGAGAAUGUUUUAAGCAAAUUUCCCAGCUUGCCAGUGGUAAUGUACCAAAUCAAGGGACUAGACAAAAAAAUGGAUAAAUUAAUCCCUUUCAUGGGUAUUUUCCAAAAUAAAUGGUUUUACAUGUAAUGAUUUUAAACUUUCCAAAGAACCUACAUGUUAAUUUCCUUGCAAAUUUAGCAUUAGCUUACAGAAUGUAUUUAUUCAUAUGCUGCCACAUGUAGAUGUUAAAACUGAUCACAUACUUGUAUAACUAAUAUUAAUAUUGAUUAUUAUCAAGGUGUACCAGAAAGAGAACAGUGUUAGUGAUCACAAGGGCUCCUAUGGGUGCCGUUGUGCUGGUGCUGCACAUGGAUGAAAUGUGGGGAUUGAGUGGAUCUCUGGCAAGUACUACCACUUUUUCAAACUUUAGCCUUGCAGCGAAACCAAAAUUAUACUCUGUCUUUACUGCAAAAGUAGUGUUAUUUUCUUGAGAUGGCGAAAGUGUAUUUUGAGGAAAAUAUUCCCUCCCUAACCUAAUUUUUUUUUUUUUUUUUUCAAAAUUCAUGGCUGUAUCAGAAUAAUUAGGUAUUUGGUAAGUGACUUUAGCCAUCGAUUUUAGCAGUCCCUGCUUAUUUGGACAGGAAAGAGAUUCCUGAAGUGAUAUUUUUUUCUUUCCCUAGGAUGAAAAGGGGUAUGUACAGAGGUUCUUAAAAUACCGUAUCAGAUACAGAAUGGAUUUCUGAAUUAAAGCAACUCCUCAUUUUUAGCUAAUCCUUGACCUCAGCUGACAAGAGAUGAGGUUGAACCCGUUCCUUGCUCUCCAGCUCCCAGCUCUCCCUUGCGGGCUUACUAUCGGUAACUGUACAGCAAGUAUGACUCAAAUCCAUAUCUCUGGAGCACUCCGUGACACUUCUGCUACGGCUUCUCCUUUGACAUCCGAGGGAUACCACCUCCCUCUCCCACGUGGAUGUUGAGUGACACAAAUGAAGCCUUCAACCAUCUUCCUGAUGGGCCAGAUGAAAGCACUGAGGAGCAGCCAGCCCCAGCUGCAGAGCAGGGCAGGAGCACAAAGGCCAGACUGAUGGAGAUGAGAGAAGGAGGGCAUCCCUGCCCUGUCCCAUGCAGGAUGAGCAUCUCCCACCUUCUGGAAUGAGCGAGGGUAUUUCCCCAGUUUGCAGUGUCAGAGGGCUGGGCACACCGUGAAGCUGUUUGGAUUCUGUGUUGAUAAGGCGAGUGCAAACUGUCCCCACAGCUCUCGAGAGCAGAAUCAAACUGAAACUUACCACUCAGAGUAGAAAGCACAAAACACCCACAGCUACAGACCUGUACAAAUUGCUGCAAUAUAGGUUAGAAAAGGAGCCCUGUUCUGCACCCGCUGGUCUCAUCAAACACACUCAGCCUUCUCUGAAUGACUGAGACCAGCGCGUGCUCCCUCCUGCACACCCAGCUAACUUGUCACAGCUCAUUAAGCAGGCAGGUUUUCACUUUUCACGUGUCCUUGCUCCCCUUCGCACCUGGCUGCAGUUUCUGCCAUGUUUUUAACCUUUGUUUUUUUCGUGACCAGCCGUGGGUAAAGUGAGACCUCCCGGGGGCACCACCCAGCCCCGCUCACCGGGUCCCACCUGGGGACACGGCGCCUGCCUGGCCAGAAGAAACCCAGCCCUAAAGAGUUUCUGCACAGGGCUCUGAGGCUGACCAGAAGAGCAGAGCAUGCACAGCGCAGAGUAAAGGUGGGGGAAAGCAAAUACUUCCUGUGGUUUGCAGAGGAACAGAGGGCAGAAAGUCCUGACAUAGGGAAGCUGGAAACCAAGACUAUAAUAUCCAAGAAAACCCGUAUAGACUGCUUCCUGCUGCACUCACCUCUUCCUGCCCCAAAGCUACUCUCUGCUUUGCUCAUUUAAAAUAGGAUUUACCAUGUAGAACACAACUGGUAUAAGGCAGGAAUGUUGGGGUCUCCCUAAUCCUAAACCCAGUAUCACGUUGUCAUGGCAGAGUCCUCAGCAUGAGCAAACCAGGAAAAAUGUGCUCAGCCUUUGAUUUUACUGUGCAUGGUUUCAAUAUUGCAGCUUCUUUUCCCAGCGCAGUGCAGCCACUUUGGGCAGGAAUGCUGUAAGGAAUCUCACUCAGUCCUUGGAUAAGGAAAUGAUCAAGGACUUGCCUAUUCACAAUUAAUGGAAAAAAAGGAGCUGAAAGCCUUUAUUAAUCAUUGCACAAUAAGGAAGUCGCACUGGUUUGGCUUCCUUCAAUAGGGCUAUUGGGUCACACCUACCUAAGUGGUUUGGCAUCCCAACCAUCUCCCCGCAGAGGAGGGAAGGGCCACUGGCCUGUGUGCCACCAGGAAGCCUGGCCACGAGCUCUGAGUGCCCAUCUUCCUUUCCUUGAGAGACAGACAUCUCUUUUUAGAGAUGUUCAAGAUGUUGCAAGUGUUCAAGGCAGGGCUGGAGGCGGCUUUGAGCAGCCCGCUGUAGUGGAAGAUGUCCCUGUUGGAAGCAGAUGAUCUUUAAGGUCCCUUCCAACCCAAACCUUUUCUGAUUCUGUGAUCUCUGCCCCACACACACAGCAGCACUGCCUGGCCCAUGAUCUGGGCAUGGGUUCCUGCCCCAAGCCAUGGCAUCGAAAAAGAGCAGAAGUUUAUGCAUGCCCUGUGCCAGAGAUUACCCUCUGCCAGCUGUGGGGGUCCUUGCUGGGAAGGGUAUAUAUACCUCCCCAGGGGAGGUGCCACCUGCCCAGUGACCACAACUCCUUGCCCUGCUCCUGGAACCUGGCUUGCCUUUCACAGCAGCCUGUCUGUUCAACUCCCAGCUCCAGACAGCAGUCUGUGGCCAGAUGUGAUGGCUGACAGGUGCCUCUGAAGUGCCAAGAGACAGAUGUUCAGGCACUGGCUUUGGCUGGUGCACGGGGCCACAUUGCCCUGCCCUUGGAGAUGGUGCUGGGGAGAAUUUUGUAGUGAGUGGUAGGACAUAGACUCAUAGAAUGGUUUGGGUUGGAAAGGACCUUAAAGAUCAUCCAGUUCCAACGGCAUCAGUGCAGGAUGAGACAACACUUCAGGAGCCCUUCUUUCUCUCAGGUGUCUUUCCUAGAUGACCUUUUGCAGAGCUGAAUGGCCUGAACCAGCAGAGCCUGUGCUGCCUGGAGGUGGAAAGCAUCAUCUAAUCGUCCCUGCGCCUGGUUUUCCUGCACAGGCUGCCAUCCGACUUGUGUCAAGCUGCAAGCUGUCACAGUGGAGGCAAGGAGGCUUGGCUUUGAAGCAAAAGGUGAUGUCUGCUUGCAUGUGCCUCUAAGCAAUUGACAUCUGACACCCCAGCAUGGGACAAGAAUGCAACCCUGCAUCUGCAGCAGGCACUGAGGCAGCAGUAGCUUGGUGAGGGUUAGCAGUUCCUCACCCCUUUGGCCACCACUAUGAACUGCUGGGAAAUCUUCCCCAACCUCUUUUAUAAAUGAGCAAAAGCAAAGUCAUGCAUCUUGAGCCUUCUGCCAUUGACUGCAGUUAGUGCAAAUGUGGCCUUAGUGGGUGUGCAAAUGUGCUACCUGCCUGCACUUCCACAUGCUGCUUCUGAGAAUGAGAAUGGCAGGUGCUGGCUGCAGGUUGGCCCUUCGUCAGCAUCCGAUGAGAAACUGAACACCUGUGCUUUUGGGAAGUGGUGUGUCUUUGGCGAAAAGCCAUGUUUCUGUGCUGUUCAGGUAGGACUGGGUAGUGCUGAAGUCACCAAAAUUCCCAUCUGUGCCCACACAUCCCAGCUCAGGCAGCUGCCCUUUCCCUGCCAGUGUACCCUGGCCAGUCGCAAAGGACGAGGGAGACGUCCCUCUCGCUGCAGGGCAGCUCCCUGAUGCUGGUGGUGAGUUUUGCUUAGGCCACCAUGACAGCUUGUGUUUUGCAGAUACCUGCCCCAUGACGGGCACAUUCCUCGGCCGCACCGCAUCCACUCAGCCCUGGCUCAUGCAGUAAUUAGCCAAGUGUUUCCUUGGCUGCCUUUAAUUACAGACACAACUAUUUCCCUCGCUCUAACGUAAUGCCUCUGAACGACAGCAAAGGUUUUGGGCUGCAUCCCGCGCAGUCCCAGCACAUGUUGGGACGCGGCCGUGCAUCGGCAGUCACUGAUUUGAACCUGAAGGGCUCAUACCCCCUCGGUGAGUCACGUUUUUCAUUUUCGACCUCAAGGCUGUAAUUGCCGCACUGGGAAUUAGCGGUGUCUCCCCCAGCACUCAGCUGAGAGGCACCGUGCUUUAUAAACCAGCCAGAAGGGAGGGAUCACACGAUCACAGAAUCAUUUGGGGUGGAAGGGACCUCUGGGAAUCAUCCAGUCCAAGGUGAAACCUCCUGUGUUUUAGUUUAUAGCCAUUGCUCCUUGUCCUGUCGCUGGGCAUCACUGAAAAAAGUCUGGUACCAUGUUCCUGGCACCCGCCUUUGGGAUAUUUACAAGCAUUAAUGAGAUCCCCUCUCAGCCUUCUCUUCUCUAGACUAAACGGGCCCACCUCCUGCAAUCUCUCCUCAGAAGAGAGGUGCUCCAGACCCCUGAUCAUCCUUGUGGCCUUCCACUGGACCCUCUCCAAGAGCAACUUGUCUUGUACUAAGGAGCCCAGCACUGGACAUGGUACUCCAGAUGUAGCGUCAUCAGAGUGCAGUAGACAGGGAAGAUCACCUCCCUCUACCACCUGCUGGCCACACUCCUGAUGCACCCCAGGGAUCAUCCUUAGAUCUGUGUUUGAGUCUAUCUCAGCUGUAUUUCACCCUGUUUAGUGGCAAAACAGCUCAGCUGGCAAAGCCCCGGAAGGAAAAUGCACGUUGCCUUCCCGGCCACAUCAUGCUUGGUCGCCACCAUUUUCACACUGGUGGCAGCAAGGUUCACAUCGAGCCUGUCUGCCUGCAGCUCUGUGCUGGGGGUGCAUGGCUUUGCAGGGCUGCACUUUACGGCAGCAUCCAGAAGGAGAAGCUUUCCUGCCCUGCACCUUGCUGAGGCUGUUAGGGUUAGCUGACCUGGUGGUGCUGUUGCCACGGCUGAAACCUGCCAUAUUUCUGGUUGCAGCACAUGCCCUCAGCGGCUUCCAGUGGCUGGGGGCUGCCAGAAACCCAGGCAGCAGCUGCCAGGCUCGGCCUUGCGAGGCUGUGAUCUAUAACGUGCAUUGUCUUUUUAUGUAAUGUGUUUUAUUAAACAUCUUCUAAAGCUUACAAGUGUCCCCAGGACAUAACUCUCCAGUGCAAUGCAACGCUCUGCCAAGAAAUGAAGUAUGAUUUAUGGCGGUAACGGUUAUCCUCUGCUUUUCUUAAAAAACAUUAUUACAGCAAUAGCUCUGUCGAGUACAGGACUGUAACAUGCUGCAUUUGGCACGUUUAUGACAACAGUGCUCUGGUUUUCUUAACUCCACAGCUCGGUGCUGGCAGUAUGUCAAAUUCUUGAGACAGAUGUUUAAAUGAAUUUUUUAAGAGGACAGUGAAAUACUUCUAAAACAUCAUACGGCACUGAGUGUCUCAAUAUGAGCAGCAACAUUAUUUCUUUAGCGUGCAGGUAGGGCAGGGCAGCACAUGGCCUCUCUGGUUUCAAUCUCACAGUAAAUGAUGGAAGUAGCAAAUGUUGAAUUAGCUUUCUGGGCAUCCCGGCCUGCUGUGGCUUUCUGGCCAAGGUGGGGGAAUGAACGGGCGUUUGACGUGCUGGAUAUCACUCGCAUUCGUGUAUCCUUUGUGAGCAGUGAAAACAGAUCCCCGUUUGUUUUGAAUGCAGUUCCCACCAUGUUGAUACAGGACUAAGUGGUCUCACGCUGACAUUGUGACUGUGUCAUUGUGGUCCCAGUGGUUAGGGUUUCAGGCCAGAAAUGACAAUCAUUUGGGAAAAUGUAAAUGAGAACCCUGCUCGCAUCUCUGCAAGGCACAGAGCAGUCGAGAAUUUCCAUCAAAACACUGAAAAUUCUUGGGGUUUAAAAAAGCAAUCAUCCCAUUUUGGUUUUUUAGGUACUGGCUCAGGCAAGGAGAGCGCUGUAGUUAACAAAGCCAGGGUGUUCAGCUCUGGCAUGGCUGCUCGCAGCUUUCCAGCACGGAAAACCAGGAACCCACAAAGGCAGAAGUCAGCAUUGUCGGAGACAUCAUCGCCCUCGGCACAGAGUGUGUUUGCGGCUGGGAGGGGAGGGCGCCCCACAACGAGGCUCCGCACACAUGCUCUCAGAUUGAAGACAAGGGAAGCAUUGGUAACAGAGGUAGUGGGUGACCGUGAGGCAACUUCAUAAUUGACAUAUCUGACGACUCGUAAAGGUUGCAUCCUGAGGAGAUAAGUCCAUUUCCCAGGUUCCUCUGCAGAGAGACUUUCAGAUUAGCUCCUUCCAUUUCCCGCCUGAGCAUGCUCCUCCAUGGACAGGCCAGAGGCAGGGGCAACAGGGCAGUUGCCCUUCAGGUGGACCUGGAGGCUGCAGAGGUGAAUGUAGCUCUUAUGGCAGUGGAUGCAUUUAUGGGGACGCUCCCGGGUGUGAAGACGCUUGUGCAGCUUGAGGUGCACAAACUGGGUGAAUUUGGCUGGGCAGAGCUUGCACUGGUAAGGCUUCUCUCCAGAGUGGAGCCUCAGGUUCAACAGAAGGACUUUGCAGAACAUAAGCUCCUAGAAAUGUUCCUCAGUAAAAUAACAAGGCAUGACAAAUCGGCUUUUGCCAAACCGCAGCAGUCACUUCACCAGCCAGUUCAAUUACUUACAGUACCAAAAAAACCAUGGCUGGCUGGGAUGAAAGCUGCCUUCAAAGAGAAGGUAUUCUCCAUCAGUAAACAGAUCAUUACUCAUUAAAUAUACUGCUUAGGAACAUCUACAACAAAGCAGACUAUUUACUGCAGAUUUCUCUGGCAUUUGGUCUAUUCAAAGCUCCUCUGCUUACAGCUGUACUUUAUAAAAAAAACUGCUGAAGCAAAGCAAAAGGAAGCAAGAGCGGUUGGCUCCAGCUUAAGUUGAAAUGUACUUUAAAGGAAAAAAAUAGAAAGGAAAAAGAAAUAUUUAUUUAGAAGGAAAUAGAAGCUAGCAUCCAUUUGGCUCAGUUCAGCACAUACACUGUUUAUUUGUAUUCAAAUGAUCGACCUUGUUAUCUGGAUAUAAUAUAAUAUGAAGAGUGUACUGAAAGAUGUCUUCAAUAGAAAAAGAAGUAUGCUUUUAUCUCAUCUCCCACAGUUAAUAGUUAUAUAAUCACGAAAUGAUGUCUUGUAAGAUAUUUUAUUACAGGGCAAAAACUACAAGGAAGGUUUCAUAUUCGUGCUUAGUUAUGUGCAAAGUUUUCCAUCAGGAGGUACAAGUCAAUGUCGCUAAGUAUGCAACUUGAAAGUAUCGCAGCCCUGCCGACAAGUUUCUGCUUCUGUGGCUCACUGAUCUUACUUCACUAACUGAGGUGAGAAACUGUUAUUUCUGAUCUUUGGAGGACCAGCUGAACCCAGUAAGGAAGAUGGGAACAGGCAAUGAUCACGCCACUUUCAACACUGAUUCUUUGCUUCGCUGUUCACUACCCUGAUGGAAUCUAUCAUUUGGCAACAUUACCCUAUAAGGCAAGGAAAUGGCCAUUUAUAAAACGUACCAAAAAAAAAACAGCUGCUUUCAAAGCUUGCUCCUUCUCACAGCAACCCAUUUGUACAGUAGCAUCCUUCCUGAAACACUGGUAGCCUAGCAAGCAAAUUUAGUUUUGACAUGUGGGCAGUUUGUGUAUUUCCAAGUUGCAAUGAAAUGCUACUGAACAUGGUUAUGUUCAAUAAUAUAUUUAGGAUAAAGCAUAGGGUGUGUUGCACAGCAAGCACGUACGCAUGUAAGUGUGCAGAGAGCUUCCCAAUUUCUUCUUUUGAUGUUAAAGCUUAAUGCAGGGCUGUUUCAAAAAUAAAUUAAUAGUAUGUUGUGUUGAAUGGUAUUUAAAAUCAUGUACUUUCUUUGAUAGUUUUCUCUGUA
Neopsephotus bourkii (Bourke's parrot) is the source of this 8537-nucleotide long non-coding RNA. RefSeq lists it as uncharacterized. The record is from RefSeq and is a predicted model, not a curated record. Lineage: Eukaryota; Metazoa; Chordata; Aves; Psittaciformes; Psittacidae. The transcript is spliced from 7 exons.